UUUGAUUUUCCAUUUCUACCAAAUACAACAUGAAGCAUUAUCCAAGAUGGUGAAUUAGAGGCUUUUAGCAUGUCUUAGCCACUUGGAAAUUCAUAAAGAUAAACUCUGUGAGCUUUAAUUUAAGAAGAAAAAUGGGAAAUCCACAAGAAUUGUGAAGGACACCUCAGAUCCCAGGAAGGAGAAUUCAGGCAAAAAGCCCCCAUGCUGGCAUCAGGCGGAUAAGGGAUUUCAGUCAAGGAGAUGCCUACCUGGGGACAGAAUCUGGAAAAGACCUCAAAAUAGAUCUUCUCAAGGCACCCGGAGGCAAACGAGGCAUAGACACACUAGGAUAAAAGCUGUCUUCAAGUCAGAGCCCUCCCUAGGGCUCCAGGCAGAGCAAAGGACCAGAUCUCCCCCUCUGCACUCCCCACCUACAGAUGAGCACCCAGGCAGGGGACACUCAAAGCAGGUGAAUGAGGCAGGGGGGGCAUGCAGAAGCCUUGAUCUCCGAGUGGUCUGUGGCCGUGAGGUGGAGAGAUACAACUGCUUUGUCGAGGACCCAAGGGAAAACCGAGCCGUGGCUGUCUGAGUCUUAUCAAAGGAAAAACGG
Molecule: long non-coding RNA, 589 nt
Filed under: Homo sapiens (human)
Lineage: Eukaryota; Metazoa; Chordata; Mammalia; Primates; Hominidae
Description: HSALNT0277279
Source: RNAcentral